GAUGAACGCUGGCGGCGUGCCUAAUACAUGCAAGUCGAGCGAACAGACGAGGUGCUUUCCCCUUUGACGUUAGCGGCGGACGUGUGAGUAACACGUAGGUCACCUCCCUAUAAGACUGGGAUAACUUCGUGAAUCCGGAGCUCAUACCGUAUAAUAUUUCGAACCGCAUGGUUCGAUAGUGAAAGAUGGCUUUGCUAUCACUUAUAGAUGGACCGGCGCCGUAUUAGCUAGUUGGUAAGGUAACGGCUUACCAAGGCAACGAUACGUAGCCGACCUGAGAGGGUGAUCGGCCACACUGGAACUGAGACACGGUCCAGACUCCUACGGGAGGCAGCAGUAGGGAAUCUUCCGCAAUGGGCGAAAGCCUGACGGAGCAACGCCGCGUGAGUGAUGAAGGUCUUCGGAUCGUAAAACGCUGUUAUUAGGGAAGAACAAACGUGUAAGUAACUGUGCACGUCUUGACGGUACCGAAUCAGAAAGCCACGGCUAACUACGUG
RNAcentral lists this ribosomal RNA (497 nucleotides) under uncultured bacterium. RNAcentral describes it as "partial 16S ribosomal RNA". It matches the Rfam family "Bacterial small subunit ribosomal RNA", at positions 28 to 507 of the family's 1533-position model. The record is from RNAcentral.